RNAcentral lists this ribosomal RNA (434 nucleotides) under uncultured Lachnospiraceae bacterium. RNAcentral's name for it is "partial 16S ribosomal RNA". It matches the Rfam family "Bacterial small subunit ribosomal RNA", at positions 341 to 792 of the family's 1533-position model. Lineage: Bacteria; Bacillati; Bacillota; Clostridia; Lachnospirales; Lachnospiraceae. The record is from RNAcentral.
ACGGAAGGCAGCAGUGGGGAAUAUUGGACAAUGGGGGCAACCCUGAUCCAGCGACGCCGCGUGAGUGAAGAAGUAUUUCGGUAUGUAAAGCUCUAUCAGCAGGGAAGAAAAUGACGGUACCUGACUAAGAAGCCCCGGCUAACUACGUGCCAGCAGCCGCGGUAAUACGUAGGGGGCAAGCGUUAUCCGGAUUUACUGGGUGUAAAGGGAGCGUAGACGGCGAAGCAAGUCUGAAGUGAAAACCCACGGCUCAACUGUGGGACUGCUUUGGAAACUGUUUUGCUAGAGUGUCGGAGAGGUGAGUGGAAUUCCCAGUGUAGCGGUGAAAUGCGUAGAUAUUGGGAGGAACACCGGUGGCGAAGGCGGCUCACUGGACGAUAACUGACGUUGAGGCUCGAAAGCGUGGGGAACAAACAGGAUUAGAUACCCUGGUA